UAGGGAAUCUUCGGCAAUGGGGGCAACCCUGACCGAGCAACGCCGCGUGAGUGAAGAAGGUUUUCGGAUCGUAAAGCUCUGUUGUAAGUCAAGAACGGGUGUGAGAGUGGAAAGUUCACACUGUGACGGUAGCUUACCAGAAAGGGACGGCUAACUACGUGCCAGCAGCCGCGGUAAUACGUAGGUCCCGAGCGUUGUCCGGAUUUAUUGGGCGUAAAGCGAGCGCAGGCGGUUUGAUAAGUCUGAAGUUAAAGGCUGUGGCUCAACCAUAGUUCGCUUUGGAAACUGUCAAACUUGAGUGCAGAAGGGGAGAGUGGAAUUCCAUGUGUAGCGGUGAAAUGCGUAGAUAUAUGGAGGAACACCGGUGGCGAAAGCGGCUCUCUGGUCUGUAACUGACGCUGAGGCUCGAAAGCGUGGGGAGCGAACAGGAUUAGAUACCCUGGUAGUCCACGCCGUAAACGAUGAGUGCUAGGCGUUGGAUCCUUUCCGGGAUUCAGUGCCGCAGCUAACGCAUUAAGCACUCCGCCUGGGGGAGUACGACCGCAAGGUUGAA
This 553-nucleotide ribosomal RNA is filed under the name uncultured bacterium. RNAcentral's name for it is "partial 16S ribosomal RNA". It matches the Rfam family "Bacterial small subunit ribosomal RNA", at positions 355 to 898 of the family's 1533-position model. The record is from RNAcentral.